RNAcentral lists this ribosomal RNA (406 nucleotides) under uncultured bacterium. Its description in RNAcentral is "partial 16S ribosomal RNA". It matches the Rfam family "Bacterial small subunit ribosomal RNA", at positions 29 to 526 of the family's 1533-position model. The record is from RNAcentral.
AUUGAACGCUAGCGGCAGGCUUAACACAUGCAAGUCGAGCGAGCGGCGGACGGGUGAGUAAUGUCUGGGAAACUGCCUGAUGGAGGGGGAUAACUACUGGAAACGGUAGCUAAUACCGCAUACCAUCAGAUGUGCCCAGCUGGGAUUAGCUAGUAGGUGGGGUAAUGGCUCACCUAGGCGACGAUCCGUAGCUGGUCUGAGAGGACGACCAGCCACACUGGAACUGAGACACGGUCCAGACUCCUACGGGAGGCAGCAGUGGGGAAUAUUGGACAAUGGGGGAAAGCCGGAUGCAGCCAUGCCGCGUGUGUGAAGAAGGCCUUCGGGUUGUAAAGCACUGUCGGCGGGGAAGCGUUACUCGCAGAAGAAGCACCGGCUAACUCCGUGCCAGCAGCCGCGGUAAUAC